UUUAAAAACACAUUUUAAUCCAAAAAAAUUUUUGAGAGUUCUUUCAUUUGAAAUUGAAAAUUUAAAAAUAUAUCCACAUUGGGAUUCAAACGAUAGAAAAACUUUAGAUAAUAUUGUUUCAAAGUUUGAUGCAACUUGUAAUCCAAAAAGAACUGAAGAAAACACUGAAAAAACUUUGACCUGUGUGGUUUGUUUAGAAGUUGAUACAGCAUCAGUUGUUUUGUGACCAUGUAAUCAUCAAUGUAUUUGUGAGACUUGUUGGAAUGUUCUUAGACGAGAUCAAGCUUUGUGUCCUAUGUGUCGACAGGUCUUGGUUGCAGCUGGCCAGGUGUACACCUUAUUCUGUUCGAACUGUGAGUUUUAUAUAAUUAAUUUUUGUCUUUAUUAUUAUAAUUAUUAAUUAGUAGUCAUCUAAUUUAUUUUGUGAC
Long non-coding RNA from Sipha flava (yellow sugarcane aphid), 428 nucleotides. RefSeq lists it as uncharacterized. The transcript has 3 exons. NCBI's taxonomy places the organism in Eukaryota, Metazoa, Arthropoda, Insecta, Hemiptera, Aphididae. The record is from RefSeq and is a predicted model, not a curated record.